ACUCAAAUGAAUUGACGGGGGCCCGCACAAGCGGUGGAGCAUGUGGUUUAAUUCGACGCAACGCGAAGAACCUUACCUGGGCUCGAACGGCGCAUGACAGGCUGUAGAAAUAUGGUCCUCCCGCAAGGGACUAGCGCCGAGGUGCUGCAUGGCUGUCGUCAGCUCGUGUCGUGAGAUGUUGGGUUAAGUCCCGCAACGAGCGCAACCCUCGUCCUGUGUUGCUACCCGCAAGGGGCACUCUCAGGAGACUGCCGGCGAUAAGCUGGAGGAAGGUGGGGAUGACGUCAAGUCAUCAUGGCCUUUAUGUCCAGGGCUACACACGUGCUACAAUGGACGGUACAAACCGCUGCGAACUCGCGAGGGGGAGCUAAUCGGAGAAAACCGUUCUCAGUUCGGAUCGCAGGCUGCAACUCGCCUGCGUGAAGCUGGAAUCGCUAGUAAUGGCGUAUCAGAAUGACGCCGUGAAUACGUUCCCGGGCCUUGUACACACCGCCCGU
RNAcentral lists this ribosomal RNA (497 nucleotides) under uncultured bacterium. Its description in RNAcentral is "partial 16S ribosomal RNA". It matches the Rfam family "Bacterial small subunit ribosomal RNA", at positions 899 to 1397 of the family's 1533-position model. The record is from RNAcentral.